CAGCAAGAAGCGUGGAGCAGCGGAUCAGCGCUCUUUCUGCCUCAGUCAGCAUCCAGCUCUGUUGGGAGAGAGCGGUGAUUCAGCCACUGCGCUGAUCUCAGGGAGCAAGGCCCUCCUCUUGGGCAGUGAAUUGGGAGCAGUGAACUCUGGAGCUUUAUGGAGAGGUUUGAUGCUGCUGCUUUGUGGGGACUUAAAUGUAUUUGUGUUUUUCCAUCGUGGCAACUCCCUGCUCUCUUGAUACCAUGUUUGGACCUGGGAGCCUUCAGUGCAACAGCUAUUUGCAGUCCUGAAGAAAGCAGGUUGCUGUCUACUCCUCCAGGCGUGUCCAGAGCGCUUGGCCAUGAUUCCAGUCUGGGAAAUGCCUUGAGAGAUCUUCAUCUCAGCUGUGUUAGCUAAGCAAGGUGAAGCAGGUGAAGUACAGGGUUUCCAUGAGGAAGGCAGUGAUUAGUUCUGGAUUCUGCUCUCCAGUCUGCAAAAUCCCUGAUACUGCAAGUGAGUGCGUGACCUGCCUGUCUGGGUGGAAGUGGUGCACUUGGUCUGAAAAGUCAUUCGACAGAAAGUGAUGCAGCUGCAGAGGCUGCCUCUGACACCUCUGCUACUGAUGCAGGAAGUUAGCUUUGAACAUUUCUGAAGGAGAAAUGAACCAUCACUUGUUCUAAAUAAUUGGUCACUCUUGUCCAACUCUGUAACUCUUGAAUAGGAAAAAAUAGGUACAAUAUUUUUAUCAUGUACCGCUUGUGAGACGAUGUUCCAAAGAAAGAUGUGCUGCUCUCCUUUCAAACAUGAAUAUUCUCUGUGGAAGCCUCCUGCUACCUGGGGUGCAGGUCUGCUUUGAAAGUUACACUGCUGGGCACUAAAGGGAACUGAGCAAAGUUCGCUCUUUGUGUUUCAGGUUCUUUUGUCUCCAACAGGAAAGGCUGUAACUGGAAUAUAAAUAAAACCAUUUUUUCCCCUGAAAUGAAAUGUAGACAGCUUUGGCUAUCUGGCAGUAAUUCACUUUCUGAGUUUCCACCUGUAAGUGAUCUAACUCUUAACUGUUAAACAAGAACCUUUCUAUUCAACAGAAAUACACCUUAUAUUCAUGAUUUCUUAACUGGCACUUAGAAUACUUGUGACAUUUGGGUUUUUUUUUUCCUUCUAAUUACAGGUUCUAAAAUUACACCUAUGAACAAGAGUGAGUGUACUGUUGUUUUCUAAAAUGAGGUAAUUUUUUCUCGUUUUGGCUUUGAGUACAGCUCCACAAACAGUUGCAUCAGCACUACUGAUGAGUAAACUAGCAAAAUGGUAGAAA
Molecule: long non-coding RNA, 1291 nt
Filed under: Taeniopygia guttata (zebra finch)
Lineage: Eukaryota; Metazoa; Chordata; Aves; Passeriformes; Estrildidae
Description: lncRNA (ENSTGUG00000023579.1)
Source: RNAcentral